AUGGCUCCUACCGAGGCUGAGGAUGAUGUAGAGGAGGGAGAAGAGAAGAAGAAGAAGAGGGAAAGGAAGGCAGCCGGAGCUGCUUUCACGUGGAUUCAAAAUAACUUUGCGACGUGCCCUCUGGAUGCAACUGAUGAUGUGAUCCAGACACAUGCUCGUGUGUAUAUGUGGUACAUUGUGUCGAGGACUUUGUUUCCUGACUCCACUGGCAAGAACGCUCCAUGGAUGUGGCUGAAGGCGUUGACCGUCUUCGAUAGCAAAUGGAGCUGGGGUUCAGCGACUCUUGCCUACUUGUACCGACAGGUAGUUGGUCUGUUUUGUGAUCAACUCAUUUAUUCAUUAGCAAUGCAAGCUUGUUGUCAAGUUAACAUCGUUUUUCUUUCAUAUGUAGCUGGAUGA
This 399-nucleotide ribosomal RNA is filed under the name Triticum aestivum (bread wheat). Its description in RNAcentral is "partial small subunit ribosomal RNA". The record is from RNAcentral. Lineage: Eukaryota; Viridiplantae; Streptophyta; Magnoliopsida; Poales; Poaceae.